RNAcentral lists this ribosomal RNA (210 nucleotides) under uncultured Clostridium sp. RNAcentral describes it as "partial 16S ribosomal RNA". It matches the Rfam family "Bacterial small subunit ribosomal RNA", at positions 1173 to 1382 of the family's 1533-position model. Lineage: Bacteria; Bacillati; Bacillota; Clostridia; Eubacteriales; Clostridiaceae. The record is from RNAcentral.
GUGGGGAUGACGUCAAAUCAUCAUGCCCCUUAUGUCUAGGGCUACACACGUGCUACAAUGGUGAGAACAAAGAGACGCAAGACCGCGAGGUGGAGCAAAUCUCACAAAACUCAUCCCAGUUCGGAUUGCAGGCUGAAACUCGCCUGCAUGAAGCCGGAGUUGCUAGUAAUCGCGAAUCAGCAUGUCGCGGUGAAUACGUUCCCGGGCCUU